AACGAAUCUUAACAUCAAUUUGAGGCCACACCAAGAAGAAUUAUUACAAUUGUCAAAUUUGGCAGAUAUCAACGCAAACCCUUUAAUAUUUCAAAUCAUUAUUGAGAUGCUUAAUAUGAAAAUCCCACCCGAAGCGAUUUUUAAGGUUUUGAAAACCAUCAGGAAAUCACAAAAAAAUAAAUCGCACAAUACAAGGAAAUCA
Onthophagus taurus is the source of this 202-nucleotide non-coding RNA. The record is from RefSeq and is a predicted model, not a curated record. Lineage: Eukaryota; Metazoa; Arthropoda; Insecta; Coleoptera; Scarabaeidae.